RNAcentral lists this ribosomal RNA (447 nucleotides) under Aeribacillus sp. U22D007. RNAcentral describes it as "bacterial SSU rRNA". It matches the Rfam family "Bacterial small subunit ribosomal RNA", at positions 95 to 526 of the family's 1533-position model. The record is from RNAcentral. Lineage: Bacteria; Bacillati; Bacillota; Bacilli; Caryophanales; Bacillaceae.
GCGGCGGACGGGUGAGUAACACGUGGGCAACCUGCCCUGCAGACUGGGAUAACUUCGGGAAACCGGAGCUAAUACCGGAUAACACCGAAAACCGCAUGGUUUUCGGUUGAAAGGCGGCUUUUAGCUGUCACUGCAGGAUGGGCCCGCGGCGCAUUACCUAGUUGGUGAGGUAACGGCUCACCAAGGCGACGAUGCGUAGCCGACCUGAGAGGGUGACCGGCCACACUGGGACUGAGACACGGCCCAGACUCCUACGGGAGGCAGCAGUAGGGAAUCUUCCGCAAUGGACGAAAGUCUGACGGAGCAACGCCGCGUGAGCGAAGAAGGUCUUCGGAUCGUAAAGCUCUGUUGUCAGGGAAGAACAAGUGCCGUUCGAACAGGGCGGUACCUUGACGGUACCUGACGAGGAAGCCACGGCUAACUACGUGCCAGCAGCCGCGGUAAUAC